CACGUGGGUAACCUGCCCAGAAGUAGGGGAUAACACCUGGAAACAGAUGCUAAUACCGUAUAACAGAGAAAACCGCAUGGUUUUCUUUUGAAAGAUGGCUCUGCUAUCACUUCUGGAUGGACCCGCGGCGUAUUAGCUAGUUGGUGAGGUAAAGGCUCACCAAGGCAGUGAUACGUAGCCGACCUGAGAGGGUAAUCGGCCACAUUGGGACUGAGACACGGCCCAGACUCCUACGGGAGGCAGCAGUAGGGAAUCUUCCACAAUGGACGCAAGUCUGAUGGAGCAACGCCGCGUGAGUGAAGAGAGGUUUCGGCUCGUAAAGCUCUGUUGUUAAGAAGAACGUGGGUAAGAGUAACUGUUUACCCAGUGACGGUAUUUAACCAGAAAGCCACGGCUAACUACGUGCCAGCAGCCGCGGUAAUACGUAGGUGGCAAGCGUUAUCCGGAUUUAUUGGGCGUAAGCGAGUGCAGCCGUUCUUUUAAGUUCUAAUGUGUGAAAAGGCCUUCGGCUCAACCGAAGAUGUGCAUUGGGAAACUGGGAGACUUUGAGUGCAGAAGAGGACAGUGGAACUCAUGUGUAGCGGUGAAAUGCGUAGAUAUAUGGAAAGAACACCAGUGGCGAUGGCGGCUGUCUGGUCUGCAACUGACGCUGAGGCUCGAAAGCAUGGGUAGCGAACAGGAUUAGAUACCCUGGUAGUCCAGCCGUAAA
Molecule: ribosomal RNA, 709 nt
Filed under: Pediococcus pentosaceus
Lineage: Bacteria; Bacillati; Bacillota; Bacilli; Lactobacillales; Lactobacillaceae
Description: bacterial SSU rRNA
Rfam family: Bacterial small subunit ribosomal RNA
Source: RNAcentral